Long non-coding RNA from Melopsittacus undulatus (budgerigar), 482 nucleotides. RefSeq lists it as uncharacterized. The transcript has 3 exons. The record is from RefSeq and is a predicted model, not a curated record. NCBI's taxonomy places the organism in Eukaryota, Metazoa, Chordata, Aves, Psittaciformes, Psittaculidae.
ACAGGUGCCAACGCCAAAUAAAGUUUGAUUUUUUGAGCCAGCUCUGGCAUUGUUGAAAAGGCAAUGAAAGCUGAGAAAACAAAAAAGGCUUGUCAGCACAGAAACAGCAUGAAUUGUGAAGUGAAUCAUUCUGCUAUUUCUCUGGCACUGGAUACAGAAGAGACUACUCAAAAUUUUCUGGGGUAUUUUCUCCAUGGGUUAUUUUCUCCCUUUACAUCAAAGGAAGGAUUAUAACUUCAAGAAGUGUCAGGCUGAAUUGCAAGCGUCUAUACAAAAGGGACAAGAGACUCAAGAAGAGGAAGAGAAGAUGAAGAGGAGAGAAGAGAAAAGAGAAGUAGUAUAUGCAAUGAUUAGAGAUGAUGGGUUAAAUAAAGGCAGCUUAUCCACUCUGUUAUUCCUAACACCUAGAAACCCCUCUGCUCUGAGACAUGUAUGUAUCUAUUGAGCAACUUACAAUAUUCAUAAAUGCUUCAGGAUCCACA